Leguminivora glycinivorella is the source of this 1214-nucleotide long non-coding RNA. RefSeq lists it as uncharacterized. The record is from RefSeq and is a predicted model, not a curated record. The transcript is spliced from 2 exons. Lineage: Eukaryota; Metazoa; Arthropoda; Insecta; Lepidoptera; Tortricidae.
UACAGCUGUCAAAUUACCGCUAUGUCCCAUAAUUGUAUUGAGCGUUUGACAGAACGUGGGUUAAAUGUCAUAAACUGGAUUAAACCUAAGGAGUUAAAAAUAGGUCAUCCAUACGAAAUAAUUAACUGCUACCAAAAGCCUUCGCAGUUUGACAGUACGAAAAUGCAGACCAUUUUAAUUUUAAAAGAGGGUCACCUGACUCUUCCAUGUCGUUUUAACGCUAUGGAAGAGGAGGUGAUGGAUGAUAUUAAAAAUGGGGGCAUAGCGGUAGUUUCCAAGGGGCCGAAAAACAGAACCUGGCUUUUAGAGUUUUGUCCAGCAUAAAUAACAUCAGCAGCAGCAACAGCAGCAGUCACCGCAAGCAGCAGCAGCAACAACAACAUUGACGAUGCCAUCCUCUUCGUACCAGUUCAAGAGCGGCAACAGCAACAGCAUCAGCAACAACAUCAGCAACAGCAACAGCAGCAACAACAAGAGCUAACAUCUUCGCAGUCUCCCACACUACUGGUACCGUUAACAGCAUGUAUGAAAUUAACAGUGCAAAGCGAAGAUGCUAACCUAGCUGUACAUCAGCCUAAGGAAAACGUCCCACCGUCAAUUAAAUGUGAGCGUAGUCACGAUGAAUAUGAAAGUAUCGAGCCAGAGUUGGUAGCACAUUAUGAAAAUAAUAAAAAGCAAUGGAUACGAGCAUUCCAAAACAACUAUCUUAUUAAACAAUGGCGUUUACCAAUGCCACUAAAUCAUUUUAGAGGGGAAGUGUCCCGUUUAAUGAAAAAUCAAUAUAUUCAGGGUAAUAUACCAUCUAACGAUGAAGUAUCGGUGUAUUUUCUAACCGUAAUGUGGGAUGAAAUUAAUGAUGAGGUGGAGGGAGUGAUAGGAAAUGAAUCCAUAAAUUUCCAGGAUUGGUUUUUUUUUCUGUGUAGUUGUAAUGUAGAAAACUUUUCUCGCGUUACAUAUAACCCUAAAAUAUUUAACUACCUUAUUAGUAUCAUAUAUUGUGUGGUGGGAGCACACAUAAUAGACUCAAUUAACUAUACACCUCCAUCUUAUGAAAAUUAACAGUUUUUUUUGUUGUUGUUGCUAUCGCUACCUGUUGUCAUACAUACCUGUUUAUAUGCAAAUGCAGCUGCUGCUAGCGAUUUUUUAUAUCUUAUAGUUACUAUACUACCUCAUGUAUCUUUAUGUGUAAUAAUAAUAAUAUUAGAAAUAAAAGA